Molecule: ribosomal RNA, 433 nt
Filed under: uncultured bacterium
Lineage: Bacteria
Description: partial 16S ribosomal RNA
Rfam family: Bacterial small subunit ribosomal RNA
Source: RNAcentral
AACGAACGCUGGCGGCAUGCCUAACACAUGCAAGUCGAACGAGACCUUCGGGUCUAGUGGCGCACGGGUGCGUAACGCGUGGGAACCUGCCUUUAGGUUCGGAAUAACUCAGAGAAAUUUGAGCUAAUACCGGAUGAUGUCUUCGGACCAAAGAUUUAUCGCCUUUAGAUGGGCCCGCGUUGGAUUAGCUAGUUGGUGGGGUAAAGGCCUACCAAGGCGUCGAUCCAUAGCUGGUCUGAGAGGAUGAUCAGCCACACUGGGACUGAGACACGGCCCAGACUCCUACGGGAGGCAGCAGUGGGGAAUAUUGGACAAUGGGCGAAAGCCUGAUCCAGCAAUGCCGCGUGAGUGAUGAAGGCCUUAGGGUUGUAAAGCUCUUUUACCCGAGAUGAUAAUGACAGUAGCGGGAGAAUAAGCUCCGGCUAACUCCGUG